AGCCCUUCUUUUUAUUAAAGGUGAUACCUGCCCAGUGAUCUAAUAAAUUAAACGGCCGCUGUAUUCUGACGGUGAUAAUGUAGGAAAAUAAAUAGUUAUUUAAUUGAUGAACGUAGAUGAAUGGUUUUACGAGGCUUCCACUGUCUUAAUUAUAAUUUAAGGAAAUUUGAAUAGUAGUUAAGAUUCUACUUAAGACUGUAAGACGAGAAGACCCUAUAAAGCUUAACUAUAAUUUAUUAAUAAUCCGUUUUGAUUAUAAAUUAAAACGGACUUAAUUAAUUUAUUUGUUAGUUUGGUUGGGGCAACAGCACUUUAUAAGUAAAGAGUGUAAGUAAAUAAAUAAAAAUUACUUUAUUGUUUAAUUUAUAAAUUUAACAAUCACAAAGUGGAUUAUAUUGACCUGUCAGUUUUAGAAAACAGAGCUGUCAAAAAGUAAAUAAAAGCUACUUUAGGGAUAACAGGUUAAUUUUUUCUUAGAGAAGCUAUCGAAGAAAAAGUUUGACACCUCGAUGUUGAAUUAAGUUACCCCAGUAAUGUAUCAGUUACUAAAGGUUGGUCUGUUCGACCAUGAAAAACUUA
RNAcentral lists this ribosomal RNA (579 nucleotides) under Halopteris catharina. RNAcentral describes it as "partial 16S ribosomal RNA". It matches the Rfam family "Bacterial large subunit ribosomal RNA", at positions 1832 to 2598 of the family's 2925-position model. The record is from RNAcentral. Lineage: Eukaryota; Metazoa; Cnidaria; Hydrozoa; Leptothecata; Halopterididae.